Molecule: long non-coding RNA, 262 nt
Filed under: Nicotiana benthamiana
Lineage: Eukaryota; Viridiplantae; Streptophyta; Magnoliopsida; Solanales; Solanaceae
Description: long non-coding RNA (NBEN_LNC028129)
Source: RNAcentral
GAAAAGGAAGAAAAAGGGAAAAUUAAAAAAAUGAAACGUGAAAGAAAGAAAGGAAACAGGAGUUCGGGAUUUCGUUCACAGUUUCGUGUUCGUGGUUCUAAAAGGUUAGUAUUGCAACUUUGAAAAUCUGUAAAUAUUCUUUUGUGGUGAAACAUUACAAAAGGUAACACUCAAUCUUUUGGUACAGUUUAAAUAUGAUAUAUGAGAUCUAUGUCUUCGCAGAGUUUGAAUUUUAAUUUGUUUUUCUAAAUUUUGUUAGAAG